UACGGAGGGUGCAAGCGUUAUCCGGAUUCACUGGGUUUAAAGGGUGCGUAGGCGGUCAGCACAAGUCAGUUGUGAAAUCUCCGGGCUUAACUCGGAAAGGUCAACUGAUACUGUGCGACUAGAGUGCGGAAGGGGCAACUGGAAUUCUCGGUGUAGCGGUGAAAUGCGUAGAUAUCGAGAGGAACACCUGCGGCGAAGGCGGUUGCUGGGCCGACACUGACGCUGAUGCGCGAAGCCAGGGGAGCGAACGGG
Molecule: ribosomal RNA, 252 nt
Filed under: uncultured bacterium
Lineage: Bacteria
Description: partial 16S ribosomal RNA
Rfam family: Bacterial small subunit ribosomal RNA
Source: RNAcentral